UUACAUAAUUAUAUAUUAUAUACUUACAUAUACCGGGUUGAUUCGAAUAAGGUCCAAGCUGGACCCGAACACCCAAUCUGAGCCCAGUCGGGUCGAAGUCAUUUGGAAUUGGACCCGACCCACCAGAUCCAACACCUGGACCCAGUUUACACAGCGGGUCGACCUGAUCCAAUUGCCACUUCCACCCAUGGAGCAUCCGUCUAUGUUAACCUUUAUGAUCCCUUGAGGGGCCAGGGUCCAUACUGGUUGGUUGGUUUGGAUUGAAGUACAUCCCUCCAGUAAGAUUCGAAACCUGUUUUGGAGAAGCUGUUAAGAAGCUUGCAAUUGUUGGCCCAAAAAUUCAUGAGAUCUCCAGCUCUUUCUGCAGUGCUCUCAUGCGACAUUUGGCUUCUCGAAAGACAUGCGAGUUUCUUCUUCCUCUCCGCAAAGUGGGUGUCUUCUGCAAGGUUGAAUCAUCUCCUUUUUAGUUGGCUUAAAGGUAAGUUUCAUUUGGAGAUAACAAGCUAGGUUAAGGCUUGGAUUUUAUUUUCUUUUUAUUUUUGGGUUGGGGGGGGGGGGGGGGGGUUGUUUGGUGGUUGGGCCAGGCUUUGUUGUGAGUGGAGAAAGAGUGGGAGGAGGCAGGGUGGAGUGCUUUAUAGGAGGAGGCCACUAAGAAAACCCUAGAGUGAGCUUUAGCCCAUGUUUACCCUUUCACACCCAGAACCCUUGAUGAAACAAGAGGGAAGAAGGCUGUGAGGUCAUCAAAUUCAUAGUCUUGGAGCUCUCCUCUACGUUGGUGUCUUGGUCUGGUUACUGUUGUUUUGUUGGAAAUAACAAGCAGUGGUAUUGGGGUUGAUAGCAACAACCAGGAGAUUUGCCCAAAUUUCUUUGAGUGAUUGAUUGCCCAUCCAAGUGUGGGUCCAAAAGAGAGCUUUUACUCCAAAAUUUACUUUUGAACCUUAUAAAAAGGCAUGAGAAACUCUCACAACUGUAAGAGUUUCUGAAAAAUCCACAGGAGACUGCGGCUCUUGGGUUCCUAUCAGGAAAACAGCCCAGCGGAUCAGUGCCACAUUUCUAGAGUACCUAGCACCAAAAAAAUUUAUGGUUGGUCCGUUAGUGGUAAGUGCCACCAUGAUUUGCCAAUAAGGAUCCAAUUUUGAGUAGGAUUGAGUCAAGGAUUGCCCAGUUGACAUGGUCAUUAGUCUUUUCCCAGUCCAGUUUCAAAGUAAAUCCAAGCUUUUUUAUUUGGUGCCUAUAAUGUAAGGCUUUGUGAGACCAAGGGCUUCAUAGAAGAUAUGCCUAUUAUUAACAUAACCAUUAGAGUUUUUGGAAAUGACUUGAUCCAAGGCAGUUUUAAGCCUAAAGGCAAGGACCUUGGAGAUGAUUUUAUAAGUGGAGCUGAUGGUCUUUCCCUCAACUUUGGGGAUGAGGGCAAUGAAAGUGGCAUUCAUUUCUUUGUUGAUGAUGCUUUUGUGGUAAAAGUCAUCGACAAAAGGCUAAGAAAGGUUAGCAAAGUUGGAGUUCAAGGUAAGGAAUGAGAGGUUAGCAAAGUGAGAACGAGCCCCUGAUUGGACAUAAUACAGACUUUAGAGAAAGGAUAUAGUGACAAAGUCCACCACAUUGGGUUCAACAAACAAGUUUUGACCAUUAGAGAUUUUGGCAUGGAGUUGGCUCGACAACUGCAACUAGCUAUUCUAUGAAAGAAAGCUGUAUUUUUGUCACCCACUCCUAGCCGCUUGACUGUGGAUCUUUGAUACCAGUAAAUCCCUUUUUGAGAAUUUGGAGGUAUACUCGGAUUUGGCAUCCUUCCUCCUUUCCUUUGAGUCUCAACAGUUGAUCGAUUUCUGGUCUCUUUUGGAGAGUCAAGAUCCUUAAUUUCUGUGUGAAGGGAGGUUUCGAGGCAUCCAAAGUUGAUAGGUUUUGUUCUACUCCACUCUUUACUUGUUUGUUUGAGCAAGCGCAUCUUUGAGUCUAAAGCCGACCCACCCAUUGGCAGACGACCACCACCAGUUGCAAACCAGGUUGUCGGAAGAGGGGUCUUCUAGCCAGAUUAGUUCGAACCUAAAGAGUUUAGCACCAGUGGCGAUUGGUAGGGUUUCUAGAAGAUGUGUUUGCCAGAAGUUGGCCUGGCCAAGUAGGAGUGGGUGCCGAGGAACUUAUCAUCCCUUUAGGAGGAUAUCAGAAUGUGGUCGAGCUUGCCAAGGGUCGGUUGGAGGAAUGCUUGGACAAAGUAUAGGAGGAGCCAUUAAGGGUUAUGUCGAUGAGAUUGUUCUCUGAAAUGAAAUCCAAUAAAGGUAACAUACAAGCAGUGAUUCUGAAGUUUCAGCUGGACUCAUACAACUGUCUGAGAACAUUGAAAUCUCCACCGAGGACCCAAGGAUUGGGAGGGGACUUGACCACCAAGUUAAGCUUGUUCCACAAGACUUGCUUAGGAUUGGGUCUAUUAUACAUACACUGCCAUGAACUUCCACGAGAAAUUGUUAGGGGUUCUGGUGAGGUAUAUUCAAUAGACCCUUGUAGAGCUAGAACAGAGAAUAUGGAUGGAAGGGUCCUAAAAGACCCAUAUUCCUCUUGAGGUUCCUAAAGCUUCUAAGGCAAUCCACUGGCAGGUUCAUCUACCUCAAAUGCUUCUAAUGUCGGAAAGUUGAGCCAAAGAAGAUUUUGUUUUUGAGAUGGCUUUGAUUUUUUGAGUUUAUUGGGUAGAGAAAGUGAGAAUUGUUACUUCUUUUGGGGAUCGUCAAUCCCCCAAAUGUUCCAUGUGAUAAUCCUCAUUUGGGAGGAUGGGAGAAUAAAGUGAGUGGCCUUGGGUGGCGUGUGGGAGAGUGGAUGUUGGGAAAGGAGGAAGAUGUCGAACUCUGGGGGAGUUGAGCAUCAUAGUUUAUGUUGGUUGAGGAGUUGGCGUAAUACCCUUACUCCUUACCUGAACCGUGUUGUUCUGAAUGAUUUCCUAGAGAUCAGUGGCAGUUCCAUUGUAGCCGAAGCCAUUUCUUCCAACAUCUCGAGCUUGGACUCAUCAUGAUCUCCUCCUCAUUAACAAUCUAGGCUGAUUCUCAGGGCAAAUCCUCUUGGCGGAGGGGGAGGGGGGGAGGCCUCUCAGGGACAAGGUUAGAUGUGUGAAUUUGUGCUCUAAAAAUUGGGGACAGUAAUGAGUGUGGAGAAAUGGGCAAUUGAUUGGUAGAGAGUAGAGACUGGCUGGAAGGAGGGGUUGGGUGGCCAAGAUGGGGGAAUGAGGUCGGGGGCAUGGGAAACAAAGGAGAGACUAGGCAGCGGUGGUGGUGAAUAAUAGUUAAGAACAUGGAUUACUUUGGGUGGGAGGAAACUUCCCGUGAUUUAGAACUCAAAAUUGUUGCAUGUUAGAUCUUCGAUUAGGGUUGUGUUCUCAAGACAUGUACUUCAUGGCGCUACAAGGCACCAUGGAUCUAACAUAUCCGUAGGGCCAAAAGUACCACCUAUCUAGUAAAUCAGUGGCACUAUGGCAUUUUGUCAUCCUUUUGAACCCAUGUAGGUCAUUUCUCUUAUUAAUAUGAUAUAAUAUAAUAUUAUUAUAACAUGAUAUUAUAUAAGAGAAAUGAUCUUAUAGGAACCCCCCUUCCCCCCACCUAUGUGUAGGACCCCAAAAGAUCACCAUGUGAUAAUUUUUCUAGAGAAGUCAAGUCCCACACCCAUGUGAUAAUUUUUCUAGAGAUCCAUGUCAACUUUAAUGGUUAUCCUUUAGGGUCUUAUACACAUAAGUGGGGGAGGGUCUUAUAGGAUAAUUUUUCUAGAGAUCCAAAUUUUUCUAUAAAUCUAUAGAAAAGUCAAGUUCUACACCCAUGUGAUAAAUUUUCUAGAGAUCCAUGUCAACUUUAAUGGUGAUCCUUUAGAGUCCUACACACAUAGGUGGAGGAGGGUCCUAUAGGAUCAUUACUCUAUUAAUAAUAUUAAUAUUAUGUAUUUACAUUAUGCAUAGUGAAUAGUGAUCAACAAAAAAGUUCUGAAAGAUCAAGUUCUUAAACCCCCUAAGAAUUUAAUCUUUCACUUUUUAACAAAGAAUGGGAACUUUUGUUGAAAGAUUAGUUUUGAACUUUUCAUGGAAAGUGUGAAACAAAUGUAGAACUUUUUCAAAAACUGAAAAAAUACUUUCAUAAAAACAAAUACACCCUAAAAAAUGCCCACUGACUUCCCCCUUUUCGCUGAAGCACACAAGCACUUGUCUUCCAUAGCCAACCCAAAAGAGGGCUCCAAAAUAAAUAUCAUAACAAUGGUUUUAUGCUUUUUCAGAAACCUCUAGAUUCGUAGUAAACACUUUUUUGCCUACUUUGAUACUUCGCCUACAUUCUCUCUCUCUCUCUCUCUCU
Molecule: long non-coding RNA, 4316 nt
Filed under: Amborella trichopoda
Lineage: Eukaryota; Viridiplantae; Streptophyta; Magnoliopsida; Amborellales; Amborellaceae
Description: long non-coding RNA (ATRI_LNC003893)
Source: RNAcentral